This 253-nucleotide ribosomal RNA is filed under the name uncultured bacterium. RNAcentral describes it as "partial 16S ribosomal RNA". It matches the Rfam family "Bacterial small subunit ribosomal RNA", at positions 524 to 776 of the family's 1533-position model. The record is from RNAcentral.
UACGAAGGGAGCUAGCGUUGUUCGGAAUCACUGGGCGUAAAGCGUGCGCAGGCGGCUUUGCAAGUCAGGGGUGAAAUGCCAAGGCUUAACCUUGGAACUGCAUUUGUGACUGCAUGGCUAGAGUGCGGCAGAGGGGGAUGGAAUUCCGCGUGUAGCAGUGAAAUGCGUAGAUAUGCGGAGGAACACCGGUGGCGAAGGCGGGUCUCUGGGCCGAAACUGACGCUGAGGAGCGAAAGCGUGGGGAGCAAACAGG